AGAGUUUGAUCAUGGCUCAGGAUGAACGCUGGCGGCGUGCUUAACACAUGCAAGUCGAGCGAAGCAGUUAAGUUGACUUCUUCGGAUUGAUUCUUAACUGACUGAGCGGCGGACGGGUGAGUAACGCGUGGGUGACCUGCCCCAUACCGGGGGAUAACAGCUGGAAACGGCUGCUAAUACCGCAUAAGCGCACAGAGCUGCAUGGCUCGGUGUGAAAAACUCCGGUGGUAUGGGAUGGGCCCGCGUCUGAUUAGGCAGUUGGCGGGGUAACGGCCCACCAAACCGACGAUCAGUAGCCGGCCUGAGAGGGCGACCGGCCACAUUGGGACUGAGACACGGCCCAAACUCCUACGGGGCGCAGCAG
Molecule: ribosomal RNA, 364 nt
Filed under: uncultured bacterium
Lineage: Bacteria
Description: bacterial SSU rRNA
Rfam family: Bacterial small subunit ribosomal RNA
Source: RNAcentral